Molecule: ribosomal RNA, 506 nt
Filed under: uncultured bacterium
Lineage: Bacteria
Description: partial 16S ribosomal RNA
Rfam family: Bacterial small subunit ribosomal RNA
Source: RNAcentral
AGUGAACGCUGGCGGUAGGCCUAACACAUGCAAGUCGAACGGCAGCACAGGAGAGCUUGCUCUCUGGGUGGCGAGUGGCGGACGGGUGAGGAAUACAUCGGAAUCUACUCUGUCGUGGGGGAUAACGUAGGGAAACUUACGCUAAUACCGCAUACGACCUACGGGUGAAAGCAGGGGACCUUCGGGCCUUGCGCGAUUGAAUGAGCCGAUGUCGGAUUAGCUAGUUGGCGGGGGAAAGGCCCACCAAGGCGACGAUCCGGAGCUGGUCUGAGAGUAUGAUCAGCUACACUGGAACUUAGGCACGGACCAGACUCCUACGGGAGGCAGCAGUGGGGAAUAUUGGACAAUGGGCGCAAGCCUGAUCCAGCCAUACCGCGUGGGUGAAGAAGGCCUUCGGGUUGUAAAGCCCUUUUGUUGGGAAAGAAAUCCAGCUGGCUAAUACCCGGUUGGGAUGACGGUACCCAAAGAAUAAGCACCGGCUAACUUCGUGCCAGCAGCCGCGGUAA